This 458-nucleotide ribosomal RNA is filed under the name Collinsella sp. HA6. RNAcentral's name for it is "bacterial SSU rRNA". It matches the Rfam family "Bacterial small subunit ribosomal RNA", at positions 37 to 514 of the family's 1533-position model. Lineage: Bacteria; Bacillati; Actinomycetota; Coriobacteriia; Coriobacteriales; Coriobacteriaceae. The record is from RNAcentral.
UGGCGGCGCGCCUAACACAUGCAAGUCGAACGGCACCCAUCCUCGGAUGGAGGCGAGUGGCGAACGGCUGAGUAACACGUGGAGAACCUGCCCCCACCCCGGGGAUAGCCGCGGGAAACCGCGGGUAAUACCCGAUGACCCCCGGAGGCCGCAUGGCCCCCGGGGCAAAGCCCAGACGGGAGGGGAUGGCUCCGCGGCCCAUCAGGUAGACGGCGGGGUGACGGCCCACCGUGCCGACGACGGGUAGCCGGGUUGAGAGACCGACCGGCCAGAUUGGGACUGAGACACGGCCCAGACUCCUACGGGAGGCAGCAGUGGGGAAUCUUGCGCAAUGGGGGGAACCCUGACGCAGCGACGCCGCGUGCGGGAUGGAGGCCUUCGGGUCGUAAACCGCUUUCAGCAGGGAUGAGACAAGACGGUACCUGCAGAAGAAGCCCCGGCUAACUACGUGCCAGCAG